AUGAGGGUAAUAGCAAGAGGGCAGGCCUGGCUCUUGGGUCCUAGCUAUGGCUGCUGCCCCUUAGUUUGGUGCUGGGGCCAGCCCUGGCCUGUGUUGUGCCUCUCCUUGCUCCAGGCCUGGUCUCUCCUGGGCUCUUCAGAGCUGUGGCUUGUAUCUGAAAUGCUUCUUCACUGGAGAAAACUUCUCUGUUUCUCAUCAGAGUACAUCAAAUGCAGCACUCCUUCUGGUAUUGAUUUGAAGUCUUUUCAACAUUGA
Molecule: long non-coding RNA, 255 nt
Filed under: Anas platyrhynchos platyrhynchos (common mallard)
Lineage: Eukaryota; Metazoa; Chordata; Aves; Anseriformes; Anatidae
Description: lncRNA (ENSAPLG00000025699.1)
Source: RNAcentral